RNAcentral lists this ribosomal RNA (512 nucleotides) under uncultured bacterium. Its description in RNAcentral is "bacterial SSU rRNA". It matches the Rfam family "Bacterial small subunit ribosomal RNA", at positions 15 to 507 of the family's 1533-position model. The record is from RNAcentral.
GAUCAUGGCUCAGAGUGAACGCUGGCGGCAGGCCUAACACAUGCAAGUCGAGCGGCAGCGCGUCCGACCACCCUCGGGUGGUCGGAUGGCGGCGAGCGGCGGACGGGUGAGGAAUGCAUCGGAAUCUGCCUCGUUGUGGGGGGAUAACGUAGGGAAACUUACGCUAAUACCGCAUACGACCUACGGGUGAAAGUGGGGGGACCUUCGGGCCUCACGCGAUGAGAUGAGCCGAUGCCGGAUUAGCUAGUUGGCGGGGUAAAGGCCCACCAAGGCGACGAUCCGUAGCUGGUCUGAGAGGAUGAUCAGCCACACUGGAACUGAGACACGGUCCAGACUCCUACGGGAGGCAGCAGUGGGAAUAUUGGACAAUGGGGGCAACCCUGAUCCAGCCAUGCCGCGUGUGUGAAGAAGGCCUUCGGGUUGUAAAGCACUUUUGUUGGGGAAGAAACCGGCCGGGUUAAUACCCUGGUUGAAUGACGGUACCCAAAGAAUAAGCACCGGCUAACUUCGUG